UUUUUUUUUCAAAGAAAAUUUCCAUUUGUAUCCAUUUUAUAGUUCUGCCUGAAAAUAAUAGGCAACUAUGUAUUAUACUUGAUCAGUUUAUCAUGUUUCUCGUUUUUUUAGGCUCGUAAAUAUCCUAGUUUACCAUGUUUGAUGUAGUGAUUUGAAUUAUGAUAACAAUCUUGAUCAAGUAUUUCUAUUUUCCUUGUCUGCUAGAUAACCAGUUAUGUGCGUCAAGCAUGUAAAGCCUUUCUUUGUUAUACCUUCCUUGAGAUCUCUUCGGGUCUUUUUGCCACUUGGAUAUAGUAAUAAAACAAUUUGAUGUUUGAAUAAGUUGAAUCAAUAGCUAAAACAGUGUUUCCUUCCAUUCUUAUGUCACCUCUGGGAUAUAAAAUGUGUUCUUGCCUACACAAACACACUUGCGCAUAUGCAUGCGCACAAGCACACGUCUAGACUGGUUAGUACAUGUCCAGUGCUGACAUUAAAGAUUAAAAAAAAGUUCUGAUUAGGUUACUGCCUUCAAGAAAGAAAUAAUAAAUAUACUAAUGCUGUCAUUGGAUUUUUAUUUUUCAGGCUGCUAAGGCUUUAGACGAAAAG
Molecule: unclassified non-coding RNA, 585 nt
Filed under: Hevea brasiliensis (rubber tree)
Lineage: Eukaryota; Viridiplantae; Streptophyta; Magnoliopsida; Malpighiales; Euphorbiaceae
Source: RNAcentral